This 69-nucleotide transfer RNA is filed under the name Sphaerodactylus townsendi. RNAcentral describes it as "tRNA-Ala". It matches the Rfam family "tRNA". Rfam says of the family: Transfer RNA (tRNA) molecules are approximately 80 nucleotides in length. Their secondary structure includes four short double-helical elements and three loops (D, anti-codon, and T loops). Lineage: Eukaryota; Metazoa; Chordata; Lepidosauria; Squamata; Sphaerodactylidae. The record is from RNAcentral.
GCAGUAGUUCACUGGGAGGGCAUCUGCUUGGCAUGCAGGAGGUCCCAGGUUUAAUUCCUGGCAUCUCCA